CCGGCCUCUCAGGGAAGUAGGGAGGGCAGGAAGGCGGGAGGGCGAGCGGGCGCCCGCAGCCCCGGCCGGAAGAGCCCGCCGUCAGCGAAGGGCAGCCCUGAAGGGGCUGGGGUCGGGAGGCUCCUCUGACCCUGACCCCGCCAGGGCACCGCCGAUCUCCACGCCUCGGGCUGCACGUUGCAAGAAACCCUGACUAUGGUGGAAGCUUCAAGCUUUAACAAGCAUUACUGCUAAAUUCAAGAAUCCUUAUAGGAGAAAGGAUAAAGGAAGAAAUGUAAGGCUUGCUGUUCAAGUUACGCUGAAAUAUUGAAUCUGAAUGAAAGGUGUCAGUGUUGGAGGCUCAAGACACAGGCCCUGAAAAUGAAAUUACUCUUACUUUAUUUAUUAAUGGCGCAUUGUUGCUAGCAGCUGAAAGCCACAGGCCCUACUGGUGAGGAGUUAAUCGUUCAUGCAGCUCAGUCCCAGAAAUACAUGGGGGAGUCGAAGAUCUAAACCUUUCUAAUCUAUUGAUGGGAAAUGAAAAGUAACCCAGAAAUGUAAUUUAAGGAUGACCUCUCUGAACACCUGCUGUAUUCUCCCGGCAAACACUGGGGCCAUGGUGUUUCUCCUCUAAUGACACCUCAUCAAUCCGCUCCUAUCAACGUCCCAGCCAUGGAGGUGACUUGGAGUGCUCAGAAGCUAUAGAAAAUGUCAACGUUUUGGGAGAAAAGGUAUUUUAGGAGGUAUCUCAGGAAAGCUGUGGUUUUACAUAAUGAAAACAAAGGGACAACUGCAAUAAAAAGUACCAGGAUUUCACAGUUAUGCUUCCGUUGAUCUGACAUCAGACCUGUUUGCUCCCCUGUGCUGUCAUCGCGUUCAGAGACGUGCUGCUGUGAAUGACACCCUGUGGCACUCUGGUACUUUUGGAAAGGAGCACAACACUGAACCACUGAACUUUAAGUUAAGCAAAAGAGAGCACUCAGAGUUGGAUUUGCCAGCUGAAAAUGAAGGCGGUAGCUUGCAGCAGAGGGGUGGUGAAAAGCCAAACAAACCAGGGUGAAGGCAGCAGCUUUCACUGCAUGGCCCUUUCUGAAAUAAGCUUCUGGGUGGAACAUGAAGGUGCUUCUAGAGGUAGGCUUAGAGGCCCAGCUGACAGGUGCUAACUUGUUUAGCUGCUGUGCCUUGAUUGCAUUUGAUUGUGUGCCCGCAACCUGAGCAGAUUCCACAAGGGACUCGUAUUCUACUUAUGGCAAGUUCCUCCCACAGUACAUCAUGCCUUUGGCAUGUGGCUUGGCCUUGGUGCUGCGCCUGCAGGAAGGAGAUGACUCGAAUGAAGGUGGAUGAGGCUUUGAGGGGAGCUGGUGCCUUCCUGCCUGACCUGGGCCAUGUGAGGGGCCAUACCAUUGUUUUGGUUGUGUGAUAGCAGUUGUACUUUUGGUGUUGGGCUGUGAUUUGGACCACCCCCCAUAGCACGGCAUUAUAGCAUUUCUCUCCAUACUUGGGCAUGGUUCAUGGUACUGAGGAGCUACAGAGAU
Molecule: long non-coding RNA, 1514 nt
Organism: Cygnus atratus (black swan)
Lineage: Eukaryota; Metazoa; Chordata; Aves; Anseriformes; Anatidae
Exons: 10
Source: RefSeq, a predicted model, not a curated record